Long non-coding RNA from Myotis daubentonii (Daubenton's bat), 494 nucleotides. RefSeq lists it as uncharacterized. The transcript is spliced from 2 exons. NCBI's taxonomy places the organism in Eukaryota, Metazoa, Chordata, Mammalia, Chiroptera, Vespertilionidae. The record is from RefSeq and is a predicted model, not a curated record.
CUGAGAGGCUCUUGUUCAUGAACUGUCUCUUCACAAAGCAAGUCCACCACUAACACGAGGGGACAAAACAGAACGCACAGUGGCAGUGAAAUUACAAUGCAAGUUCAAGGAUCUCUGCCGAGAACAGAAACAUUCAUGACCCUACAAGAGGAAACAAUAUUUCACGUGUGACUUGUUCUUGAAGAGCUCUGUAAGCCCAACUCUUAACCUAAAGGAAAAUGUGGAAAAGGUGAAUGGGUAUGGAUCCAAUGUGGCACGUACUUCAGGUCAAAGUUUACACAGAUUUGCCCCACCAGCGUGGCUCAAUGGUUGAGCAUCAACCUGUGAAUCAGGAGGUCGCGGUUCAAUUCCCAUUCAGGGCACAUGCCCGGGUUGUGGGCUCGACCCCUAGAGUGUGGGGCAUGUAGGAGAUAGCUGACCAAUGAUUCUCUCUCAUCAUUGAUAUUUCUCUCUCCCUUCCUCUCUGAAAUAAAUAAAAAUAUACUUUAAAAAAA